CGGGAUGUAGCGCAGCUUGGUAGCGCACUUGCAUGGGGUGCAAGGGGUCGGAGGUUCAAAUCCUCUCAUCCCGA
Molecule: transfer RNA, 74 nt
Filed under: Neptuniibacter caesariensis
Lineage: Bacteria; Pseudomonadati; Pseudomonadota; Gammaproteobacteria; Oceanospirillales; Oceanospirillaceae
Rfam family: tRNA
About the family: Transfer RNA (tRNA) molecules are approximately 80 nucleotides in length. Their secondary structure includes four short double-helical elements and three loops (D, anti-codon, and T loops).
Source: Rfam by way of RNAcentral